GCGGAAGGAUCAUUACUGAGAGUACCGGGCUCUGCCUGGCUACUUUUACCCAUGUUUUUAGAGUACCAAAAGUUUCCUCGGCGGCUCUGCCCGCCGGUCGGACUCCAUUCAAACCCUUUGCAGUUGCAGUCAGCGUCUGAUAAACAAAAUAAUUACAACUUUCAACAACGGAUCUCUUGGUUCUGGCAUCGAUGAAGAACGCAGCGAAAUGCGAUAAGUAGUGUGAAUUGCAGAAUUCAGUGAAUCAUCGAAUCUUUGAACGCACAUUGCACCUCUCGGUAUUCCGGGAGGUAUGCCUGUUCGAGCGUCAUUUGUACCCUCAAGCUCUGCUUGGUGUUGGGUGUUUGUUCCGCCUUUGCGUGUGAACUCGCCCUAAAACAAUUGGCAGCCGGCGUACUUGUUUCGGAGCGCAGCACAUUUUGCGUUCAGAUCAGUGUACACUGGCACCCAAGAAGCCUUAUUUUAACGCUCUUGACCUCGGAUCAGGUAGGGAUACCCGCUGAACUUAA
This 509-nucleotide ribosomal RNA is filed under the name Wilsonomyces carpophilus. RNAcentral's name for it is "eukaryotic LSU rRNA". The stretch from base 157 to 310 matches the Rfam family "5.8S ribosomal RNA". Lineage: Eukaryota; Fungi; Ascomycota; Dothideomycetes. The record is from RNAcentral.